Molecule: long non-coding RNA, 1573 nt
Organism: Bos indicus x Bos taurus (hybrid cattle)
Lineage: Eukaryota; Metazoa; Chordata; Mammalia; Artiodactyla; Bovidae
Source: Ensembl
AUGAGCAAAGAGGAUGGAGGGCAGCACCACCUGCCCUGGAUCAUCGCGAGUGUUAACAAGGUGACAGGCCUCCAGCAGCUUCCCCAUGGGAGGCUUGGAGGUGAAGAGAUAUGCAGCCGUGUCACAUGGUGUCAUAAGUGGUGGAAUGAGAUGACCCCAAAGCCCUGCUCUGAUUACCAGAUUCCCUUUGCCCCAGCACCAAAGCAGAGGAGACCCAGAAGGAUAAGCCAGAGCAUUGGAGAGCUGGGUUCCCACCCCAACAGUAAGGGUCACCACUGGGCCCCCAGGGGGCUCUCUGGGGCAGACCUCCGCUCCAGGCCACUCGGACACCUUGUCGCCCAAGCCUGCAGGGCUCGCUGCAGCUCCCGGCCUUUGUCCAGCUGGGUUCCCUGGGUCGCAAGGUAUGAGCCACAGAUGUGGGGUGGAGUUUUGAUGCUGUCUUGGGGAGCCUUGGGGAAAUCACUGCCCCUCAGAACCUCGGUUUCCUCCUCUGAAAAAAGAGGGCUUUGCAAUGUAUGGGCUUGAAAAUGAAGGGGAGGAGCUGUUAAGAUUUGCUUCACCGGGCUGUAAGGAAGACCGGGAAGCAAACUGUGAGUGUGUGAAAUUGAUGGCUUGCGCGAUACUGGUGAGCCACUCCCACUGUCCUUUGUCAUCCUGCUUCUCUCUUGAGACCUUUCCUUGUCUUUAGGCGCCCUCUCCCCGCUCCAGAGCCCAGCACUUUGCUCUCUCUUGAACAUUUACGGUGUGCUAACUGCUAACAGCUGCUUUCCCUUCACUCACAACCCCAAGGCCCCCAGACCCGCACCUCCACCCGCCCAGAGCAUCUUCCCAUGGCUCUGUGUCUUCACCCCUGCAGGGCCUGCACAGAGACCCGGCCGCACUCUUCCCACGGGAGGCCUUUCCAUCCUCACUGUCUCCGCCAGGCCCCCAGCCCUGCGUGUGUUUUCUCUCUGUAAUGCUCCCUGGUGCUCUAUGGUGUGUGUACCACAUGCUCAACACUGCUGGGGGCUGGGCUCUUCCUGUUGCCCCCGUUCUGCCCGCAGCUGGACAAGGCAGCCGCCCUCUCACUCAUCACAGGUGGAAACCCAAGUCGGAGCCUGCAGGUUCCUGACCACCCAGCAGUGGGGGCUGGGCUCACCUUCGAUCCUGACUCUUGCCCCAGCACUUUCUGCUCAGGGCUGCCCACUUGGGCCUUCUGAUAAAGGAAGAGAAUGAAGGAGGCCGAGGGAGCAGACCCAGCUCUGAGGAAGCAGACACCCAGUGAAUCCUAAAAGGAAUCAACCCUGAUUAUUCAUUGGAAGGACUGACUGAUGCUGUAGAUGAAGCUUUGAUACUUUGGCCACCUGGUACAAAGAGCCGACUCACUGGAAAAGUCCCUGAUGCUGGGAAAGAUUGAAGGCAGGAGGAGAAGGGGAUGACAGAGGACAAGAUGGUUGGAUGUCAUCACUGACUCAAUGGAAAUGAGUUUGAGCAGGCUCUGGGAGCUGGUGAUAAACAGGAAGGCCUGGCGUGCUGCAUUCCAUGGGGUUGCAAAGAGUCUGACAUGACUGCGCGACUGAACAACAAUCAGGCC